AUCUAGUGGCUGAAAAUCAAGUAAUGAUCUCUUAAAUCAAUUUAUGGUAAAAUGAAAAUACCCUAGAUAAA
This 71-nucleotide transfer RNA is filed under the name Homotoma ficus. Its description in RNAcentral is "tRNA-Lys". The record is from RNAcentral. Lineage: Eukaryota; Metazoa; Arthropoda; Insecta; Hemiptera; Carsidaridae.